Molecule: unclassified non-coding RNA, 148 nt
Filed under: uncultured Thelebolus
Lineage: Eukaryota; Fungi; Ascomycota; Leotiomycetes; Thelebolales; Thelebolaceae
Description: partial internal transcribed spacer 2
Source: RNAcentral
CAACCCUCAAGCUUUGCUUGGUAUUGGACAUUGCCAGUUUCUGGCAGGUCUUAAAAUCAGUGGCGGUGCCAUUUGGCUUCAAGCGUAGUAAUUCUUCUCGCUUUGGAGAUCCAGGUGGUUACUUGCCAAUAACCCCCAAUUUUUUAAU